UCGACGGACUUAACUCAUUCUUUUAGAUUGAGAGCGGUUAGUGGCGGACUGGUGAGUAACACGUAAGCAACCUGCCUAUCAGAGGGGAAUAACAGUGAGAAAUCAUUGCUAAUACCGCAUAAGCUAGUAGUAUCGCAUGAUAUAGCUAGAAAAGGAGCAAUCCGCUGAUAGAUGGGCUUGCGUCUGAUUAGCUAGUUGGUGGGGUAACGGCCUACCAAGGCGACGAUCAGUAGCCGGACUGAGAGGUUGAACGGCCACAUUGGGACUGAGAUACGGCCCAGACUCCUACGGGAGGCAGCAGUCGGGAAUAUUGCGCAAUGGAGGAAACUCUGACGCAGUGACGCCGCGUAUAGGAAGAAGGUUUUCGGAUUGUAAACUAUUGUCGUGAGGGAAGAAAUUGACAGUACCUCAGGAGGAAGCUCCGGCUAACUAUGUGCCAGCAGCCGCGGUAAUACAUAGGGAGCAAGCGUUAUCCGGAUUUAUUGGGUGUAAAGGGUGCGUAGACGGGAAAUUAAGUUAGUUGUGAAAUCCCUCGGCUUAACUGAGGAACUGCAACUAAAACUGAUUUUCUUGAGUACUGGAGAGGAAAGUGGAAUUCCUAGUGUAGCGGUGAAAUGCGUAGAUAUUAGGAGGAACACCAGUGGCGAAGGCGACUUUCUGGACAGUAACUGACGUUGAGGCACGAAAGUGUGGGGAGCAAACAGGAUUAGAUACCCUGGUAGUCCACACUGUAAACGAUGGAUACUAGGUGUAGGAUGUAUUAAGCAUUCCGUGCCGCCGCUAACGCAUUAAGUAUCCCACCUGGGGAGUACGACCGCAAGGUUGAAACUCAAAGGAAUUGACGGGGGCC
Molecule: ribosomal RNA, 850 nt
Filed under: uncultured bacterium
Lineage: Bacteria
Description: bacterial SSU rRNA
Rfam family: Bacterial small subunit ribosomal RNA
Source: RNAcentral